UUUUCACAAUGUAUUUCAUGGCUUCCAUCCCUACAUGAGACUUUAUUACGAUCACAUAGGAAUAAAAAGCCAUAAAGCACUAGAGUGAAU
Molecule: microRNA precursor, 90 nt
Filed under: Cricetulus griseus (Chinese hamster)
Lineage: Eukaryota; Metazoa; Chordata; Mammalia; Rodentia; Cricetidae
Description: mir-135
Source: RNAcentral